This 254-nucleotide ribosomal RNA is filed under the name uncultured bacterium. RNAcentral describes it as "partial 16S ribosomal RNA". It matches the Rfam family "Bacterial small subunit ribosomal RNA", at positions 524 to 776 of the family's 1533-position model. The record is from RNAcentral.
UACGUAGGGUGCGAGCGUUGUCCGGAAUUAUUGGGCGUAAAGAGCUCGUAGGCGGUGUGUCGCGUCGGCCGUGAAAACCUGCAGCUUAACUGUGGGCUUGCGGUCGAUACGGGCAUCACUGGAGUUCGGCAGGGGAGACUGGAAUUCCUGGUGUAGCGGUGAAAUGCGCAGAUAUCAGGAGGAACACCGGUGGCGAAGGCGGGUCUCUGGGCCGAUACUGACGCUGAGGAGCGAAAGUGUGGGGAGCGAACAGG